GGCUCUGUAGCAUAAUUGGUUAAUGCCCCGGACUGUCGAUCCGGUGAGUGCCGGUUCGAAUCCGGUCAGAGUCG
RNAcentral lists this transfer RNA (74 nucleotides) under Crocinitomicaceae bacterium. Its description in RNAcentral is "tRNA-Asp". It matches the Rfam family "tRNA". From Rfam's summary of the family: Transfer RNA (tRNA) molecules are approximately 80 nucleotides in length. Lineage: Bacteria; Pseudomonadati; Bacteroidota; Flavobacteriia; Flavobacteriales; Crocinitomicaceae. The record is from RNAcentral.